This 798-nucleotide unclassified non-coding RNA is filed under the name Hevea brasiliensis (rubber tree). The record is from RNAcentral. Lineage: Eukaryota; Viridiplantae; Streptophyta; Magnoliopsida; Malpighiales; Euphorbiaceae.
AUGAACUGACCAAGAACAUCUGAUCUGUUAUAGUGUCAAAGAAAUAAGUCAGAUAUGUCCAGGAGAAACCCCAGCCAUCAGGAAACGAAAACCUAAGAAAAAUAAAUAAAUUAAAAAACAUUCAAGGGGGAAUCAAUGUAAUGCUACCUUACUCCAAUACCAAGUUAGCAAGUGCAAAAAGGAUGUACCAAAAGGAGAUAAAGCUUCAGAAAUAGAUAUUAUGAACUUAUAAAGUUUCACAUCACAAUUCAGAUAAAUAGAAAUUCAAAGAGAAACAAUUACUUAAUUAUGAUGUUUUCAUGCAACUGGCAUGAUAAAGGAAUGACCUCAAUAAAGUUAUAAAGAUGUAGUAAUAAACAACUGAGAUGGAAGCCUCAGAGCUCAGACACCUAGCACAAGCAGCUAAAAAUCAUUAUCAUAAGUUAUUGUAUCACAUCAAUAAUGGUUCUAAAGUUAAAAUUUUAGAAGCACAAAGAGAUAAGAUGGAUCAGUAAAUAUUCAUGCUAGACCUACUUUGUGAGUUUUCUAUGCUCCUAUUUUGGAACAUCUUUACUUUUCAUACAUCGCCACUCACUUUGAAUGAGAUUGGGUUUAAGACCCAACCUUGCAUCUAACGCUAUUAACAUAUUGUGAUGACCAAAUACCGUACAGUUAGUCAGCGGAUAAUUGAUAAAUAAUCUACAUAAGUACUUUCCAAUUCAAAUAUGUGUUAUGAAUAAGGAGAAUAAGGGGUAUUGAAAAUAAAUAGAGGGUCUUCGGGGUUGAAACUGUAAAAAAGGAAUAGUAUGGAAGUUAGUA